AUUGAACGCUGGCGGCAGGCCUAACACAUGCAAGUCGAGCGAGUGGCGGACGGGUGAGUAAUGUCUGGGAAACUGCCUGAUGGAGGGGGAUAACUACUGGAAACGGUAGCUAAUACCGCAUACCAUCGGAUGUGCCCAGAUGGGAUUCGCUAGUAGGUGGGGUAAAGGCUCAACUAGGCGACGAUCCCUAGCUGGUCUGAGAGGAUGAACAGCCACACUUGAACUGAGACACGGUCCAGACUCCUACGGUAGUCAGCAGUGGGGAAUAUUGCACAAUGGGCGCAAGCCUGAUGCAGCCAUGCCGCGUGUGUGAAGAAGGCCUUCGGGUUGUAAAGUACUUUCAGCGAGGAGGCGUUACGCGCAGAAGAAGCACCGGCUAACUCCGUGCCAGCCGCCGCGGUAAUUC
Molecule: ribosomal RNA, 406 nt
Filed under: uncultured bacterium
Lineage: Bacteria
Description: partial 16S ribosomal RNA
Rfam family: Bacterial small subunit ribosomal RNA
Source: RNAcentral